Molecule: ribosomal RNA, 450 nt
Filed under: uncultured Glomeromycotina
Lineage: Eukaryota; Fungi; Glomeromycota
Description: bacterial SSU rRNA
Rfam family: Eukaryotic small subunit ribosomal RNA
Source: RNAcentral
AGCAGCCGCGGUAAUUCCAGCUCCAAUAGCGUAUAUUAAAGUUGUUGCAGUUAAAAAGCUCGUAGUUGAACUUCAGGCCUGUCCAGACGGUCCGCCUUAAUUGGUGUGUACUGUCCUUGGGUGGGUCCUACCUUCUGGCGAAGCGGCAUGGCCUUAAUUGGUUGUGUCGGGGAACCAGGACUUUUUACUGUGAAAAAUUAGAGUGUUCAAAGCAGGCAAAUAUGCUCGAAUACAUUAGCAUGGAAUAAUGGAAUAGGACGAUGGUUCUAUUUUGUUGGUUCUAGGACCGUUGUAAUGAUUAAUAGGGAUAGUUGGGGGCAUUAGUAUUCAAUUGUCAGAGGUGAAAUUCUUGGAUUUAUCGAAGACUAACUACUGCGAAAGCAUUUGCCAAGGAUGUUUUCAUUAAUCAAGAACGAAAGUUAGGGGAUCGAAGACGAUCAGAUACCGUCG